RNAcentral lists this ribosomal RNA (301 nucleotides) under uncultured bacterium. Its description in RNAcentral is "partial 16S ribosomal RNA". It matches the Rfam family "Bacterial small subunit ribosomal RNA", at positions 509 to 809 of the family's 1533-position model. The record is from RNAcentral.
CAGUCGCCACGGGAAUACGGAGGGUGCAAGCGUUAAUCGGAAUUACUGGGCGUAAAGCGCACGCAGGCGGUCUGACAAGUCAGAUGUGAAAUCCCCGGGCUUAACCUGGGAACUGCAUUUGAAACUGUCAGGCUGGAGUCUUGUAGAGGGGGGUAGAAUUCCAGGUGUAGCGGUGAAAUGCGUAGAGAUCUGGAGGAAUACCGGUGGCGAAGGCGGCCCCCUGGACAAAGACUGACGCUCAGGUGCGAAAGCGUGGGGAGCAAACAGGAUUAGAUACCCCAGUAGUCCCUGUCUCUUUAUA